This 255-nucleotide ribosomal RNA is filed under the name uncultured bacterium. Its description in RNAcentral is "partial 16S ribosomal RNA". It matches the Rfam family "Bacterial small subunit ribosomal RNA", at positions 524 to 776 of the family's 1533-position model. The record is from RNAcentral.
GACGUAGGUGGCGAACGUUAUCCGGAAUUAUUGGGCGUAAAGGGUGCGUAGAUGGUGUAGUAAGUUAUCGGUGGCAAAUCGAGGCUCAACCUCGUGGAAGUCGGUAAUACUGCUAUGCUAGAGGAUAGGAGAGGUUAACGGAACUCCCUGUGGAGCGGUGAAAUGCGUAGAUAUAGGGAAGAACACCAAUAAGGCGAAGGCAGUUAACUAGUCUACUCCUGACAUUGAGGCAUGAAAGCGUGGGGAGCAAAACGG